UUUUGUCCAUUGCCCUUUUUCUGUUGUACUACUGUGAGCAUUCAGAAGAGCAGUGCAAUAUUAAAAGGGCAUUGGCUGGAAG
This 82-nucleotide microRNA precursor is filed under the name Astyanax mexicanus (Mexican tetra). Its description in RNAcentral is "mir-130 microRNA precursor family". It matches the Rfam family "mir-130 microRNA precursor family". Rfam says of the family: The hairpin precursors (represented here) are predicted based on base pairing and cross-species conservation -- their extents are not known. In this case the mature sequence is excised from the 3' arm of the hairpin. The record is from Rfam by way of RNAcentral. Lineage: Eukaryota; Metazoa; Chordata; Actinopteri; Characiformes; Acestrorhamphidae.